UUUAGGGAAAAAAAAAAAAAUCGAAUUUCUCUGAAUGACUGAUGAAAUAACUGGAUGAAAUAACUGGAUGAAAUGACGGAUGGAUUUUGUCGAUAACCUCGCGAAAUUGGACCUACAUUUCAUUCAUUUAUAUUUCACACAUUCACAACAUCCUCAUCUACCCUACACAUCCAUUUAUACAACAAGCAUCCUACACAUUCAUCUAUAUACCAUCCACAUCUCCCUAUACAUUCAUCUCAUCUAUACAAGCAUACAUCACACCAUAUCCUUCUAAAGCUUUACCUGCAGUCGUCAUAUGUCAGUCUCAAUAUACACAUACACACGUCACAC
Molecule: small RNA, 330 nt
Filed under: Arabidopsis thaliana (thale cress)
Lineage: Eukaryota; Viridiplantae; Streptophyta; Magnoliopsida; Brassicales; Brassicaceae
Description: ATSL237710
Source: RNAcentral